CCCUAUCGAGCUUUACUGGAUACCGAUAGCGUUAAUUUAGAAUGAUCGAUACUAAGUAUCCUAAUUCUAAGUUAAUAAUUUUUGUUGGUAGGACAGUUUAGUUGGGGCGACUACCUUUGAAUAAGAAACGAAGGCGAGCUUAUGGUAUUAUUUAAAAUCUCAUUAGCCUCACAGUGAGGGGGACACCCCUAGCUGGCACACCCCAAAAGGACAUUUGUCCCCACCUAAGGGAUGUGGGCGAUAGUGACCCGAUAUGAUUAUCCAAAAUAAAUAUCGAAAGCGGAUAAAAGCUACCGUAGGG
Molecule: ribosomal RNA, 301 nt
Filed under: Acanella sp. S55910
Lineage: Eukaryota; Metazoa; Cnidaria; Anthozoa; Scleralcyonacea; Keratoisididae
Description: partial 16S ribosomal RNA
Rfam family: Bacterial large subunit ribosomal RNA
Source: RNAcentral